Molecule: ribosomal RNA, 321 nt
Filed under: Sandonidae sp.
Lineage: Eukaryota; Cercozoa; Glissomonadida; Sandonidae
Description: SSU rRNA
Rfam family: Eukaryotic small subunit ribosomal RNA
Source: RNAcentral
GAUUUCUGGCUUGAAACACUAAGCCGGCCACGGUUUCGUGUGUUAGUGCUUGGUGUUCUGGCCAUCCUUCCAAUCGCCAUCUACUUCUCUUCAUUGAUUAGUAGGUGGUAUUGGAUCUUUUACUUUGAAAAAAUUAGAGUGUUUCAAGCAGGCUAUUGCUAUGAAUACAUUAGCAUGGAAUAAUAAUUUAGGACUUUGGCCCUAUUUUGUUGGUUUCUAGGACUGAAGUAAUGAUUGAUAGGGAUAGUUGGGGGUGCUCGAAUUCAGCGGCCAGAGGUGAAAUUCUUGGAUUCGCUGAAGACGAACUCAUGCGAAAGCAUU